RNAcentral lists this long non-coding RNA (312 nucleotides) under Mustela putorius furo (domestic ferret). Its description in RNAcentral is "lncRNA (ENSMPUG00000030894.1)". The record is from RNAcentral. Lineage: Eukaryota; Metazoa; Chordata; Mammalia; Carnivora; Mustelidae.
CUUCACUCCUCUCUGGUGGCCCUCAGUAUCCCCUUCCCAAGUUUUUCUAAAGGUUUCUACUCUCUGAUUUGUACUUUCCUCCCUGCUUUGGGACAGUGAAUCCAAAUUUCAAUGGGACUCUUUUUUAAAGGAUGAAGAAUUGUGGACCUUUUAUAACUUUCUCUUGGAAACCAUGAUUGAAAGUGAUGAUAGCCAAUGAAAACUCCAUUGCCUCAUUUGGGGUGAGCAACCAGGUUCCCUGCUCCAAGUACUGCCACCUGGAAGAUUUCCAUUCACCUCUGUUGUACCGGAAAAUCACAGAGAGGAUUUGUA